Molecule: ribosomal RNA, 443 nt
Filed under: uncultured bacterium
Lineage: Bacteria
Description: partial 16S ribosomal RNA
Rfam family: Bacterial small subunit ribosomal RNA
Source: RNAcentral
CCUACGGGUGGCAGCAGUGAGGAAUAUUGGUCAAUGGCCGGAAGGCUGAACCAGCCAAGCCGCGUGAAGGAAGAAGGCCCUCGGGUUGUAAACUUCUUUUGUCAGGGACGAAACAAAUGACGGUACCUGACUAAUAAGCCACGGCUAACUACGUGCCAGCAGCCGCGGUAAUCCGGAGGUGGCAAGCGUUAUCCGGAUUUACUGGGUGUAAAGGGCGUGUAGGCGGGAGAGCAAGUCAGAUGUGAAAUUCCAGGGCUCAACCCUGGAACUGCAUUUGAAACUGUUUUUCUUGAGUGAUGGAGAGGCAGGCGGAAUUCCGUGUGUAGCGGUGAAAUGCGUAGAUAUACGGAGGAACACCAGUGGCGAAGGCGGCCUGCUGGACAUUAACUGACGCUGAGGCGCGAAAGCGUGGGGAGCAAACAGGAUUAAAUACCCCAGUAGUC